ACAAACAAACAAACAAAAACACACACAAAAAAACAAACCAUACUGUAACACACACCAGACUUCUAACAGACAAAGUAUUUGCAUUGACAAACAAACUGCCCUUCACUGACUGUCACACAUUUAACAACUCUUUUCUUAUGUUCCUCUCAUCUCACUGUAGUCUUCUGCCUGAAGUCAAAUUUCUGACCAGCUGUGCUCUCACACGAGCCUCCAGAAAGGCCUCAAUGGGCAAGCACCACGCACACAACUCUUUACUCCGGUAACACCUCUGAAGGCUCCCGAAGCGUCAGCAGCUGAAACCCAUCUCCCUUUCACUCCUCUGUAAUUUCCUAGCAAAGACAGAAAAUUACAACCCACAGCCGGCGCUCCACAUAAAGCCAAUUACAAGAAGCGUGGGGGUGGCAGUGCUCUCUGACACCAGCCCCGCCAAGGACGGUCCAUCCUUCGCACGUCUCGUCUGGUGCGAUGGAAGAGCUCUUCUCUGCACCGCAGCCUCCGUUAAUGAAGUACACUCGACAGAGAACUAUCCGAGGGUGAAGGGGCAACACCACAUUCACAGUGACCUCAAUUUGUGCCCAGCCGCUUCAAAAUCAUGAGCCCAGGCAGAUAACAAACAAACAAAUAUGUAAAUGAAUCAUGGAAGAGCCUUAACGACACCAGCUCAGAACAUGCAACACCCAGCCUUUUCCACCACAGUCCCCUUAGCCCAAACCCACCCCAUAUCAUGGGACACGUUAGGAACAUGUGGUGAUUGCAGAGCCAGGGUGCGUGCCCAGCCAGACCCGGCUCUCAGCAGGGCAUUGAGGCCCAUGGGCAGAGUUAGGCCCAAGGCUCCUGGGCUGCGGUGGCUCUUCCUAGAGCACACCACGACUGGUUGGGCAGCACGUACAUGACAGGGCUGCUUGGCCCACAAUUCAUUCACUGCCAGCAGCUCCUUAUCAGCGGGAGUUGGAUGUGAGCCAUAUCCAAGAAGGCCAGGCACGAUCCCUCCUGAGAAACCCAGCAGGCUCAGCUGGAGGCUUCUUGCUCGCCCCUGGCUGGAGGGUUUCUGCUGUAACUAAAAGCCAGCACUGGGCUGUCUGGGCUAAGCCUGACCUGCUCAGUGAAACACAGACAUCUCCUCACCUUCUUAGUUUCUUCUGUGGUGGGGAUCAGUGGAAGCACCUUCAUCAAUUGGGCUGGAAGGCUUUUGCCAAAUGGAAGACUGAAAAGCUGAAACCUUCUUUUCCCGAUCACUUGGUCACUUCCACGGUGCAGAUUCUCCAAUUUUGCAAAUGACUUCAUCGGUGUCAGCACUAUUGGCAGCUGAGACGUUUGCGUGCCUAAACUCUGCAGGAUGACUUCACGCAUUGAACUCACCUGACUUAAUAACAUCCUGCCUAACAAACAGCGAUGCACAUGCCAAUUGCCUACCUAACAGAGGUCUCUACAGGCCUGGGAAGUCAGCACCAAAGCUUCAGCAACCACAUCGCCAGGGCUCAUCGCCUGCAUUUUCAAGGAAAUGGCACAGCAAAGCAAAAGGACCCCUUUUCUUGGGAUGUGGUAGAAGCGCAAGAAAAAUGAACAAAAUCACAUGUUCAGAUAAAGUUCCUUUUGACAUGGUGGGAACUGUGGGUUCAAAAUGAAAACAAUAAACAAAGCAAGAUGAGGAGAAAAAUAUAAAAAA
Anas platyrhynchos (mallard) is the source of this 1666-nucleotide non-coding RNA. NCBI's taxonomy places the organism in Eukaryota, Metazoa, Chordata, Aves, Anseriformes, Anatidae. The record is from RefSeq and is a predicted model, not a curated record.